RNAcentral lists this ribosomal RNA (1530 nucleotides) under Salmonella enterica subsp. enterica serovar Dublin. RNAcentral's name for it is "bacterial SSU rRNA". It matches the Rfam family "Bacterial small subunit ribosomal RNA". The record is from RNAcentral. Lineage: Bacteria; Pseudomonadati; Pseudomonadota; Gammaproteobacteria; Enterobacterales; Enterobacteriaceae.
AGAGUUUGAUCAUGGCUCAGAUUGAACGCUGGCGGCAGGCCUAACACAUGCAAGUCGAACGGUAACAGGAAGCAGCUUGCUGCUUUGCUGACGAGUGGCGGACGGGUGAGUAAUGUCUGGGAAACUGCCUGAUGGAGGGGGAUAACUACUGGAAACGGUGGCUAAUACCGCAUAACGUCGCAAGACCAAAGAGGGGGACCUUCGGGCCUCUUGCCAUCAGAUGUGCCCAGAUGGGAUUAGCUUGUUGGUGAGGUAACGGCUCACCAAGGCGACGAUCCCUAGCUGGUCUGAGAGGAUGACCAGCCACACUGGAACUGAGACACGGUCCAGACUCCUACGGGAGGCAGCAGUGGGGAAUAUUGCACAAUGGGCGCAAGCCUGAUGCAGCCAUGCCGCGUGUAUGAAGAAGGCCUUCGGGUUGUAAAGUACUUUCAGCGGGGAGGAAGGUGUUGUGGUUAAUAACCGCAGCAAUUGACGUUACCCGCAGAAGAAGCACCGGCUAACUCCGUGCCAGCAGCCGCGGUAAUACGGAGGGUGCAAGCGUUAAUCGGAAUUACUGGGCGUAAAGCGCACGCAGGCGGUCUGUCAAGUUGGAUGUGAAAUCCCCGGGCUCAACCUGGGAACUGCAUUCGAAACUGGCAGGCUUGAGUCUUGUAGAGGGGGGUAGAAUUCCAGGUGUAGCGGUGAAAUGCGUAGAGAUCUGGAGGAAUACCGGUGGCGAAGGCGGCCCCCUGGACAAAGACUGACGCUCAGGUGCGAAAGCGUGGGGAGCAAACAGGAUUAGAUACCCUGGUAGUCCACGCCGUAAACGAUGUCUACUUGGAGGUUGUGCCCUUGAGGCGUGGCUUCCGGAGCUAACGCGUUAAGUAGACCGCCUGGGGAGUACGGCCGCAAGGUUAAAACUCAAAUGAAUUGACGGGGGCCCGCACAAGCGGUGGAGCAUGUGGUUUAAUUCGAUGCAACGCGAAGAACCUUACCUGGUCUUGACAUCCACAGAAGAAUCCAGAGAUGGAUUUGUGCCUUCGGGAACUGUGAGACAGGUGCUGCAUGGCUGUCGUCAGCUCGUGUUGUGAAAUGUUGGGUUAAGUCCCGCAACGAGCGCAACCCUUAUCCUUUGUUGCCAGCGAUUAGGUCGGGAACUCAAAGGAGACUGCCAGUGAUAAACUGGAGGAAGGUGGGGAUGACGUCAAGUCAUCAUGGCCCUUACGACCAGGGCUACACACGUGCUACAAUGGCGCAUACAAAGAGAAGCGACCUCGCGAGAGCAAGCGGACCUCAUAAAGUGCGUCGUAGUCCGGAUUGGAGUCUGCAACUCGACUCCAUGAAGUCGGAAUCGCUAGUAAUCGUGGAUCAGAAUGCCACGGUGAAUACGUUCCCGGGCCUUGUACACACCGCCCGUCACACCAUGGGAGUGGGUUGCAAAAGAAGUAGGUAGCUUAACCUUCGGGAGGGCGCUUACCACUUUGUGAUUCAUGACUGGGGUGAAGUCGUAACAAGGUAACCGUAGGGGAACCUGCGGUUGGAUCACCU